This 423-nucleotide ribosomal RNA is filed under the name uncultured bacterium. Its description in RNAcentral is "bacterial SSU rRNA". It matches the Rfam family "Bacterial small subunit ribosomal RNA", at positions 207 to 622 of the family's 1533-position model. The record is from RNAcentral.
AAGACCUUACGCUUUUGGAGCGGCCGAUGUCUGAUUAGCUUGUUGGUGAGGUAAAGGCUUACCAAGGCUUCGAUCAGUAGCUGGUCUGAGAGGACGACCAGCCACACUGGGACUGAGACACGGCCCAGACUCCUACGGGAGGCAGCAGUGGGGAAUUUUGGACAAUGGGGGAAACCCUGAUCCAGCCAUGCCGCGUGAGUGAAGAAGGCCCUCGGGUUGUAAAGCUCUUUCAGCCGGAACGAAACGGUUACGAUUAAUACCUGUAACUACUGACGGUACCGGAAGAAGAAGCACCGGCUAACUACGUGCCAGCAGCCGCGGUAAUACGUAGGGUGCGAGCGUUAAUCGGAAUUACUGGGCGUAAAGCGUGCGCAGGUGGUUUUGUAAGUCAGAUGUGAAAUCCCCGGGCUUAACCUGGGAACU